This 74-nucleotide transfer RNA is filed under the name Candidatus Jorgensenbacteria bacterium. RNAcentral's name for it is "tRNA-Gln". It matches the Rfam family "tRNA". From Rfam's summary of the family: Transfer RNA (tRNA) molecules are approximately 80 nucleotides in length. Lineage: Bacteria; Candidatus Joergenseniibacteriota. The record is from RNAcentral.
UGCGGGGUCGUCUAAUGGUAGGACGUCUGGCUCUGGACCAGAAAAUUUUGGUUCGAAUCCAAGCCCCGCAGCCA